AACGAACGCUGGCGGCAUGCCUAACACAUGCAAGUCGAACGAGACCUUCGGGGCUAGUGGCGCACGGGUGCGUAACGCGUGGGAACCUGCCCUUAGGUUCGGAAUAACUCCCCGAAAGGGGUGCUAAUACCGGAUAAUGUCUUCGGACCAAAGAUUUAUCGCCUUUGGAUGGGCCCGCGUUGGAUUAGCUAGUUGGUAGGGUAAAAGCCUACCAAGGCGACGAUCCAUAGCUGGUCGGAGAGGAUGAUCAGCCACACUGGGACUGAGACACGGCCCAGACUCCUACGGGAGGCAGCAGUGGGGAAUAUUGGACAAUGGGCGAAAGCCUGAUCCAGCAAUGCCGCGUGAGUGAUGAAGGCCUUAGGGUUGUAAAGCUCUUUUACCCGGGAUGAUAAUGACAGUACCGGGAGAAUAAGCUCCGGCUAACUCCGUG
RNAcentral lists this ribosomal RNA (433 nucleotides) under uncultured bacterium. RNAcentral's name for it is "partial 16S ribosomal RNA". It matches the Rfam family "Bacterial small subunit ribosomal RNA", at positions 29 to 507 of the family's 1533-position model. The record is from RNAcentral.